This 31-nucleotide non-coding RNA is filed under the name Rattus norvegicus (Norway rat). Lineage: Eukaryota; Metazoa; Chordata; Mammalia; Rodentia; Muridae. The record is from RNAcentral.
UAGUCUGGGCUUUAACUACUUGGUCCUCUUC